RNAcentral lists this non-coding RNA (75 nucleotides) under Micromonospora carbonacea. Its description in RNAcentral is "SAH sequence". It matches the Rfam family "SAH (S-adenosyl-L-homocysteine) riboswitch aptamer". Lineage: Bacteria; Bacillati; Actinomycetota; Actinomycetes; Micromonosporales; Micromonosporaceae. The record is from Rfam by way of RNAcentral.
CGGGUCGAGAGGCGCUGCGACGGAUGACCAUCCGCCACGCUCGGCCUGUUCCUUGGUCCAAGGGCGCCUCCCGCU